GAGGAUAGCCUAGGGAAACCUGGGAUUAACCCUUCUAUACGUAUUAUUGGAUGGCAUCAUUUGAUAUUAAAACUGAGGUGGUAUAGGAUGGGCCAUGCGUCUGAUUAGUUAGUUGGCGGGGUAAUGGCCCACCAAGACGAUGAUCAGUAGGGGGUUCUGAGAGGAAGAUCCCCCCACACUGGCCACUGAGAUACGGGCCAGACUCCUACGGGGAGGCAGCAGUAGGAAUAUUGGUCAAUGGAUGCAAGUCUGAACCAGCCAUGCCGCGUGCAGGAAGAAGGCCUUCUGGGUUGUAAAACUGCUUUUGCCAGGGGAUAAAAUUUCCAUGCGUGGAAAACUGAAGGUACCUGGUGAAUAAGCCACGGCUAACUACGUG
This 376-nucleotide ribosomal RNA is filed under the name uncultured bacterium. RNAcentral's name for it is "bacterial SSU rRNA". It matches the Rfam family "Bacterial small subunit ribosomal RNA", at positions 139 to 507 of the family's 1533-position model. The record is from RNAcentral.